This 593-nucleotide long non-coding RNA is filed under the name Eutrema salsugineum. Its description in RNAcentral is "long non-coding RNA (ESAL_LNC000366)". Lineage: Eukaryota; Viridiplantae; Streptophyta; Magnoliopsida; Brassicales; Brassicaceae. The record is from RNAcentral.
GGUUCGGUUCUGGUCCGGGUCAGAUCAUGGGCCAUCAUUUUGUUUUGAUGGGUCAAAAAUUUAUGUUGGGUUGGGGCUAGACUAUAAAACAUUGGGUAAUUGAGCUUAAAAUUUACAAAUUCUGGUCCAAAUGUGUUAUCGGAUGAAAAUUGGCUCGAUAAGGUUCAUGAUUGAGCCGAAAAUGUGAUUUCUCAACCGUCUUCAGUUCUGGUCCGCACCAAAUAAAUUGUGGCUCGAUUAGAGACUUCUUCAUGGUGGAUUGGUCGAUGAAUAUGUGACCAUUGACUUCUGCUCCUGAUUGUGGGUUUAGGGUUCUUCUUCCAUUAGACGAUUUUAAAUGCUCAUUCGAUGGACUAAAGCUUGUGCUCUUCCUCGGAACUGAGUUUUUGUUAAAGCUUUGUAUGCUCUCUUUACUUCUGUUCAAAAUUACUCUGUUUUUAUAGUUUUGAUUUUCCAUACUUAACAAAUAUUUUUUGUUUCUUUGUUGAUCAACAAUUUUACAUGUUUUUUUUUAAAUAUUAAUAUUUCUUUUUGCGAAUAAUGAUUUUAUUUAAUGUAUGUUUAAUUAAUUGUGAAUAUAUGGCAAAUUGAGU